CAUGCAAGUCGAGCGGUAGCACAGAGAGCUUGCUCUCGGGUGACGAGCGGCGGACGGGUGAGUAAUGUCUGGGAAACUGCCUGAUGGAGGGGGAUAACUACUGGAAACGGUAGCUAAUACCGCAUAACGUCGCAAGACCAAAGUGGGGGACCUUCGGGCCUCAUGCCAUCAGAUGUGCCCAGAUGGGAUUAGCUAGUAGGUGGGGUAAUGGCUCACCUAGGCGACGAUCCCUAGCUGGUCUGAGAGGAUGACCAGCCACACUGGAACUGAGACACGGUCCAGACUCCUACGGGAGGCAGCAGUGGGGAAUAUUGCACAAUGGGCGCAAGCCUGAUGCAGCCAUGCCGCGUGUAUGAAGAAGGCCUUCGGGUUGUAAAGUACUUUCAGCGAGGAGGAAGGCGUUAAGGUUAAUAACCUUAGCGAUUGACGUUACUCGCAGAAGAAGCACCGGCUAACUCCGUGCCAGCAGCCGCGGUAAUACGGAGGGUGCAAGCGUUAAUCGGAAUUACUGGGCGUAAAGCGCACGCAGGCGGUUUGUUAAGUCAGAUGUGAAAUCCCCGGGCUCAACCUGGGAACUGCAUUUGAAACUGGCAAGCUUGAGUCUUGUAGAGGGGGGUAGAAUUCCAGGUGUAGCGGUGAAAUGCGUAGAGAUCUGGAGGAAUACCGGUGGCGAAGGCGGCCCCCUGGACAAAGACUGACGCUCAGGUGCGAAAGCGU
This 717-nucleotide ribosomal RNA is filed under the name uncultured bacterium. RNAcentral describes it as "bacterial SSU rRNA". It matches the Rfam family "Bacterial small subunit ribosomal RNA", at positions 54 to 762 of the family's 1533-position model. The record is from RNAcentral.